GCCUAUACAUGCAAGUCGAACGAAGUAGCAAUACUUAGUGGCAGACGGGUGAGUAACAUGUGGGUAUCUUCCCUUUGGUGAGGAAUAACACGAGGAAACUUGUGCUAAUACCUCAUAAGUCUUUACGGAGAAAGCUUUAUGCGCCAUUGGAUGAGCCUGCACUUGAUUAGUUUGUUGGUGGGGUAAUGGCCUACCAAGACAAUGAUCAAUAGCUGAUUUGAGAGGAUGAUCAGCCACAUUGGGACUGAGACACGGCCCAAACUCCUACGGGAGGCAGCAGUAGGGAAUCUUGCACAAUGGAGGAAACUCUGAUGCAGCGAUGCCGCGUGAGUGAAGAAGGCCUUUGGGUUGUAAAGCUCUUUCGUCGGGGAAGAAAAUGACUGUACCCGAAUAAGAAGGUCCGGCUAACUUCGUGCCAGCAGCCGCGGUAAUACGAAGGGACCUAGCGUAGUUCGGAAUUACUGGGCUUAAAGAGUUCGUAGGUGGUUAAAAUAGUUGGUGGUGAAAUCCCAGAGCUUAACUCUGGAACUGCCAUCAAAACUUUUUAGCUAGAGUAUGAUAGAGGAAAGCAGAAUUUCUAGUGUAGAGGUGAAAUUCGUAGAUAUUAGAAAGAAUACCAAUUGCGAAGGCAGCUUUCUGGAUCACUACUGACACUGAGGUGCGAAAGCAUGGGUAGCGAAGAGGAUUAGAUACCCUCGUAGUCCAUGCCGUAAACGAUGUGUGCUAGACGUUGGAAAUUUAUUUUCAGUGUCGCAGCAAAAGCGUUAAGCACACCGCCUGGGGAGUACGACCGCAAGGUUAAAACUCAAAUGAAUUGACGGGGACCCGCACAAGCAGUGGAGCAUGUGGUUGAAUUCGAAGAUACGCGCAGAACCUUACCAACACUUGACAUGUUCGUCGCGACUUUAAGAGAUUAAAGUCUUCGGUUCGGCCGGACGAA
RNAcentral lists this ribosomal RNA (940 nucleotides) under uncultured bacterium. RNAcentral's name for it is "bacterial SSU rRNA". It matches the Rfam family "Bacterial small subunit ribosomal RNA", at positions 46 to 1031 of the family's 1533-position model. The record is from RNAcentral.